Paramuricea clavata is the source of this 253-nucleotide non-coding RNA. The record is from the annotation of a GenBank genome assembly. NCBI's taxonomy places the organism in Eukaryota, Metazoa, Cnidaria, Anthozoa, Malacalcyonacea, Plexauridae.
CGGGUUUUAAUCCUGUGCUUUCACAUUCAAGAUAGCACUAUUGUUUACACAAAGUUGGCGAUGUUUGGGAAAUCAAAGCAUCCCGUUAUAAAAUAAAUCCUUUGUUGAAUAUCGGACAGGAUACACUUCAACCAUAAAUAACGGCGAUGCAUGCUCAACUUCGGCGAUGCAUGCUCAACUUCGCAAGCCAGGCACGUGUGGAGUCCCUCCCUUGAAGUGAAAUAUGAUCCAGCUUGUCGCUUGAAAUGUACCG